This 250-nucleotide ribosomal RNA is filed under the name uncultured bacterium. RNAcentral's name for it is "partial 16S ribosomal RNA". It matches the Rfam family "Bacterial small subunit ribosomal RNA", at positions 524 to 773 of the family's 1533-position model. The record is from RNAcentral.
UACGUAGGUGGCAAGCGUUGUCCGGAUUUAUUGGGCGUAAAGAGCCCGCAGGCGGUCUGUUAAGUUUCAGGUGAAAUCUCCUGGCUCAACUGGGAGGGGUCCUGGAAAACUGGCAGACUUGAGGCAGGGAGAGGGAUGUGGAAUUCCCGGUGUAGUGGUGAAAUGCGUAGAUAUCGGGAGGAACACCAGUGGCGAAGGCGGCAUCCUGGCCCUGUCCUGACGCUCAGGGGCGAAAGCGUGGGGAGCAAAC